GAGCCUGUGGCUCAAUAGUAGAGCGUUCGUCUCAAAAACCAAUGGUCGCGGGUACGAAUCCCAGGUGUG
RNAcentral lists this transfer RNA (69 nucleotides) under Schistocephalus solidus. It matches the Rfam family "tRNA". From Rfam's summary of the family: Transfer RNA (tRNA) molecules are approximately 80 nucleotides in length. Their secondary structure includes four short double-helical elements and three loops (D, anti-codon, and T loops). Lineage: Eukaryota; Metazoa; Platyhelminthes; Cestoda; Diphyllobothriidea; Diphyllobothriidae. The record is from Rfam by way of RNAcentral.